GAUGAACGCUAGCGGCAGGCCUAAUACAUGCAAGUCGAACGGUAAGGCCCUUUCGGGGGUACACGAGUGGCGGACGGGUGCGUAACGCGUAUGCAACAUGCCUUCCAGCGGGGGAUAUACCAGGGAAACUUGGCGCAAUACCCCAUAGAAUUACGGGACCGCAUGGUCUUGUGAUUAAAACUCCGGUGCUGGGAGAUUGGCAUGCGUGACAUUAGCUUGUUGGUGAGGUAACGGCUCACCAAGGCUCUGAUCAAUAGCCGACCUGAGAGGGUGACCGGCCACACUGGGAUUGGGAUACGGCCCAGACUCCUACGGGGGGCAGCAGUCUAGAAGCAUCGACAAUGGGGGCAACCCUGAUCGUGCGACGCCGCGUGCAGGACGAAGGUCUUCGGAUCGUAAACUGCUUUCGCAAGGGAAGAAAGGCGAACUGAUUAAGAGUUGGUUUGUCAGACGGUACCUUGUAAAGAAGCUCCGGCUAAGUCCGUGCCAGCAGCCGCGGUAAAGUCG
This 507-nucleotide ribosomal RNA is filed under the name uncultured bacterium. RNAcentral describes it as "bacterial SSU rRNA". It matches the Rfam family "Bacterial small subunit ribosomal RNA", at positions 28 to 527 of the family's 1533-position model. The record is from RNAcentral.